This is a non-coding RNA of Mycena amicta, 102 nucleotides long. The record is from the annotation of a GenBank genome assembly. Lineage: Eukaryota; Fungi; Basidiomycota; Agaricomycetes; Agaricales; Mycenaceae.
GGGUUAUUGGUCUAGAGGUAUGAUUCCUGCUUUGGGUUAUUCCGGGACGCCAUGUGGCAUCCUUCAUGCAGGAGGUCGUCGGUUCAAUCCCGGCAUAACCCC